GUAACAGGAAAGCUUGCUUUCGCUGACGACCGGCGCACGGGUGCGUAACGCGUAUGCAACCUACCUCAUACUGGAGAAUAGCCCCUGGAAACGGGGAUUAAUACUCCAUAGUAUCAUUCUUUCGCAUGUUUGAAUGAUUAAAGAAUUUCGGUAUGAGAUGGGCAUGCGUCCCAUUAGCUAGUUGGUGAGGUAACGGCUCACCAAGGCUACGAUGGGUAGGGGGCCUGAGAGGGUGGUCCCCCACACUGGUACUGAGACACGGACCAGACUCCUACGGGAGGCAGCAGUGAGGAAUAUUGGUCAAUGGAGGCAACUCUGAACCAGCCAUGCCGCGUGAAGGAUGACGGCCCUAUGGGUUGUAAACUUCUUUUGAAUAGGAAGAAACUUAUCUACGUGUAGAUAACUGACGGUACUAUUAGAAUAAGGAUCGGCUAACUCCGUGCCAGCAGCCGCGGUAAUACGGAGGAUCCAAGCGUUAUCCGGAUUCAUUGGGUUUAAAGGGUCCGUAGGCGGAUCUUUAAGUCAGUGGUGAAAGCCGACAGCUUAACUGUCGAACUGCCAUUGAUACUGGAGAUCUUGAGUACAAAUGAAGUAGGCGGAAUGAGUCAUGUAGCGGUGAAAUGCAUAGAUAUGACUCAGAACACCGAUUG
RNAcentral lists this ribosomal RNA (650 nucleotides) under uncultured marine bacterium. RNAcentral describes it as "bacterial SSU rRNA". It matches the Rfam family "Bacterial small subunit ribosomal RNA", at positions 69 to 715 of the family's 1533-position model. The record is from RNAcentral.